This 491-nucleotide ribosomal RNA is filed under the name uncultured bacterium. Its description in RNAcentral is "bacterial SSU rRNA". It matches the Rfam family "Bacterial small subunit ribosomal RNA", at positions 29 to 524 of the family's 1533-position model. The record is from RNAcentral.
AGUGAACGUUGGCGGCGUGGAUUAGGCAUGCAAGUCGAACGCGAACGACUCCUUCGGGGGACUAGUAGCGUGGCGAAAGGGGCAGUAAUACAUAGGUAACCUACCCUUCGGACCGGGAUAUACGGUAGAAAUGCCGGGCAAUACUGGACGUCGUUCGGGAGUGACAUCUCUCCUGAACGAAAGGGUUUACUCCGCCGAAGGAGGGGCCUAUGCACUACCAGCUAGUUGGUGAGGUAACGGCUCACCAAGGCUACGACGGUUAGGGGGUGUGAGAGCAUGGCCCUCGCCACUGGGACUGAGAUACUGCCCAGACUCCUACGGGAGGCUGCAGUCGAGAAUCUUCGGCAAUGGGCGAAAGCCUGACCGAGCGACGCCGCGUGGUGGAAGAAGGCCCUUCGGGUUGGUUAAACAACCCUGUUUGGGGGGGGAACGAAUUUUGAGUGAACCCCUGAGGAAGCACGGGCUAAGUUCGUGCCAGCAGCCGCGGUAAU